UUAAAAACUGUGAUUGAGGAAAGUAAUUUUCAUUAGAGUCUUCAGAGAGUUGGUAGCGCUGGAAACCAAUGGCAAUGAUGUUGAUGAAGUUCCCUCAGGAGUUGAUUGGCUGAACAUUCAUGAGUGAAGUAAUUUAUUCGUAUCACCAUUAGGCGAAUCCGGUGUCCCUCAUCGUUAAAAUAGGAAGAACGGGGCUAAUGUUGGUCGUGUUCUAAAAAGGUGGAUUAGUUAAUAAUCAAAUUAGGUGGUACCGCGAGUCAGACUCGUCCUUUUC
This is a non-coding RNA of Acetobacterium wieringae, 274 nucleotides long. The record is from Rfam. NCBI's taxonomy places the organism in Bacteria, Bacillati, Bacillota, Clostridia, Eubacteriales, Eubacteriaceae.